This is a long non-coding RNA of Oncorhynchus masou masou (cherry salmon), 1475 nucleotides long. RefSeq lists it as uncharacterized. The record is from RefSeq and is a predicted model, not a curated record. The transcript is spliced from 4 exons. Lineage: Eukaryota; Metazoa; Chordata; Actinopteri; Salmoniformes; Salmonidae.
AGGAGAGAGUGAGUUGAAUCAGGUUGAUCUGAAGACAUCCACAUCAACUUUGACACUAGAGGUCGAAGGAGAGAGUGAGUUGAAUCAGGUUGAUCUGAAGACAUCCACAUCAACUCUGACACUGUAGGUCGAAGGAGAGAGUGUGAUGCAGGAGAGUGAUGAUCUAGAGACAGCUGGGCCAUCUCAAUCCCAGGAGACUGAACGAGUGGCAAAGGCUGCAGUGGUGACCUUCACUACCGUGACCCGCAAGGCUGCAGCCUCCCAGACCAGCCUCACCCUCAGCAGGGGAAAGAGAAGCUACCCAGACCUACACACCUUUGUGCAGGACAUGAAGGAUGGGCCAUUGGAAUCUGCUGAGUGAGAAUAUGCGUGCCAGGGUGAGUUAUAGUCACUUCUAAAGUAGUUCAUGUUGGUAAGAUGGACCAAACAUUCCAAACUCCUAUGGGUGGAAAUCGUGCAGGACCUUUAAUUCAGAGGUUCCAUAACUUUUUCACUCAGGCCCCCUUUCCAGCAUUGUGGAACAUCCUGAACCACUGCUUCAAUUGACUAGCUUGAAUAAACACAUGGUGCAGCAGUGCAGCUCCGUUAACAAACUAACUCUGUAUGGUCUUUUAACAUUUCAGAUGAGCAGAGAUGAGUUUAGUGCAAGGUGCAUGGAUAUUACAAAUUGGGUGAUGGAGUCUACAUCCACUGUGGUCGUUCCUGCCUCACCAUGCACCAUGCAGAUCAGGCACUCUGAUUCGUCAAGCUCUUCUGGAUCAGGAAGUCAGAUUCAGCUUUUGUGGCGGACCCAGUAGACGCACCAGUUCUGGAACUACUUGCAGCACACCUAUCCCCUCCUCUCACAGGUCCAUGACCUCUUUGCUGAGUGAUGACGAAGAGCGAUAUGUCUCCUCACCUGAGGGUGGUGAUAGAGAGAUGAGACACAGACCCCACUCUGCACCACUGAGUUCUGUGUUUGGAAUCUCUGAGGAUUCUGUCUUCAACAUGGUCCAGAGAGGCCAGUCGCAGAGUGACAUCGUACUGUCGUCCAGUUGGAGUAGACGGGAGAAAUACAGACCUGUCAAAAUACCAACGGACACCAGGUUUAUGAUGGGUAUUGUAGAGUUGGUAAUGAACCUUCUCAACUCUAGAUUGGCUGAGCUAAUGCAAAGUUUCAGUCAGGGAACUCUAGGUCCGCUGUCUGGUAGUAUCUCAGCAAGUCAGCAGUUUGCCCAAGAAAUGCUAAGCAUGGUGUCUGCUAAGAUGUAUUCCCAUGCCAUAGAGCAUAUUGCGCAUGGCCACAAGUCUCAUCCAAGUCAAUUUCUGUCCCACAACAGAAUGACAGAAGUGUCAUCCGAUGUUGUGGAUCUUGUACUUGAGGUUGUUGGGAUAACAGGAUUUUUGGAUAGCAGGAGCCCGUCAAGGCCACAGAGUGCCUGCUCCUACAACUCAGCUAGUGGAGCAAUAGAUAUGAGAGCUCUUGCUGGGGACUU